GACGAACGCUGGCGGCGUGCUUAACACAUGCAAGUCGAACGGUGAAGCUCCAGCUUGCUGGAGUGGAUCAGUGGCGAACGGGUGAGUAACACGUGAGCAACCUGCCCCUGACUCUGGAAUAAGCGCUGGAAACGGCGUCUAAUACUGGAUACGAGAAGGGUCCGCAUGGGCACUUUCUGGAAAGUUUUUCGGUUGGGGAUGGGCUCGCGGCCUAUCAGCUUGUUGGUGAGGUAAUGGCUCACCAAGGCGACGACGGGUAGCCGGCCUGAGAGGGCGACCGGCCACACUGGGACUGAGACACGGCCCAGACUCCUACGGGAGGCAGCAGUGGGGAAUAUUGCACAAUGGGCGAAAGCCUGAUGCAGCAACGCCGCGUGAGGGACGACGGCCUUCGGGUUGUAAACCUCUUUUAGCAGGGAAGAAGCGAAAGUGACGGUACCUGCAGAAAAAGCGCCGGCUAACUACGUG
This 468-nucleotide ribosomal RNA is filed under the name uncultured bacterium. RNAcentral describes it as "partial 16S ribosomal RNA". It matches the Rfam family "Bacterial small subunit ribosomal RNA", at positions 28 to 507 of the family's 1533-position model. The record is from RNAcentral.